UACGGAGGAUGCAAGCGUUAUCCGGAUUUAUUGGGUUUAAAGGGUGCGUAGGCGGAAAAUUAAGUCAGUAAUGAAAUCCUGCAGCUUAACUGUAGAAUUGUUAUUGAUACUGGUUUUCUUGAAUACAGUUGAGGCAGGCGGAAUGUGUAAUGUAGCGGUGAAAUGCUUAGAUAUUACACAGAACACCGAUUGCGAAGGCAGCUUGCUAAACUGUGAUUGACGCUGAGGCACGAAAGCGUGGGGAUCAAACAGG
RNAcentral lists this ribosomal RNA (253 nucleotides) under uncultured prokaryote. RNAcentral's name for it is "partial 16S ribosomal RNA". It matches the Rfam family "Bacterial small subunit ribosomal RNA", at positions 524 to 776 of the family's 1533-position model. The record is from RNAcentral.